AAAUAUUCCUGUACCGAUUCUAGAUGCGAUGUGGGGACGGAGAAGGUUAGGUCAGCCGGGUGUUGGACGUCCCGGUUUAAGCGUGUAGGCGUGCCCCUUAGGCAAAUCCGGGGGGCUGAGCUGAGGCGUGAUGACGAGGAACCACGGUUCCGAAGUGAUUGAUACCAAGCUUCCAGGAAAAGCCACUAAGCUUCAGUCUAGAGUUGACCGUACCGCAAACCGACACAGGUGGGCAGGAUGAAAAUUCUAAGGCGCUUGAGAGAACUCAGGAGAAGGAACUCGGCAAAUUAACACCGUAACUUCGGGAGAAGGUGUGCCCCGGUAGCGUGUAGAGACUUGCUCUCGAAGCGCGAUGGGGUUGCAGUGAAAUGGUGGCUGCGACUGUUUAAUAAAAACACAGCACUCUGCAAACACGAAAGUGGACGUAUAGGGUGUGACGCCUGCCCGGUGCCGGAAGGUUAAGUGAUGGGGUGCAAGCUCUUGAUCGAAGCCCCGGUAAACGGCGGCCGUAACAAUAACGGUCCUAAGGUAGCGAAAUUCCUUGUCGGGUAAGUUCCGACCUGCACGAAUGGCGUAACGAUGGCCACACUGUCUCCUCCUGGGACUCAGCGAAGUUGAAAUGUUUGUGAAGAUGCAAUCUACCCGCGGCUAGACGGAAAGACCCCAUGAACCUUUACUGUAGCUUUGCAUUGGACUUUGAACCGGUUUGUGUAGGAUAGGUGGGAGACUGUGAAGCCGGGACGCUAGUUUCGGUGGAGUCAACCUUGAAAUACCACCCUGAUUUGUCUGAGGUUCUAACCUUGGUCCGUGAAUCCGGAUCGGGGACCGUGCAUGGUAGGCAUUUUGACUGGGGCGGUCUCCUCCCAAAAGGUAACGGAGGAGUACGAAGGUACGCUUAGGGCGGUCGGACAUCGCCCACAAAGUGCAAUGGCAAAAGCGUGCUUGACUGCGAGACCCACAAGUCGAGCAGGUACGAAAGUAGGUCAUAGUGAUCCGGUGGUUCUGUAUGGAAGGGCCAUCGCUCAACGGAUAAAAGGUACUCUGGGGAUAACAGGCUAAUUCCUCCCAAGAGUUCAUAUCGACGGGGGAGUUUGGCACCUCGAUGUCGGCUCAUCACAUCCUGGGGCUGUAGUCGGUCCCAAGGGUAUGGCUGUUCGCCUUUUAAAGUGGUACGCGAGCUGGGUUUAAAACGUCGUGAGACAGUUUGGUCCCUAUCUGCCGUGGGCGCUGGAAAUUUGAAGGGGGCUGCUCCUAGUACGAGAGGACCGGAGUGGACGAACCUCUGGUGUACCGGUUAUGACGCCAGUCGUAUCGCCGGGUAGCUAAGUUCGGAAGAGAUAAACGCUGAAAGCAUCUAAGCGUGAAACUCGCCUUAAGAUAAGAUUUCCCGGAGUCUUGAACUCCCUGAAGGGUCGUCGAAGACCACGACGUUGAUAGGUCAGGUGUGGAAGCGCAGCAAUGCGUUAAGCUAACUGAUACUAAUUGCCCGUGCGGCUUGAUCCU
Molecule: ribosomal RNA, 1503 nt
Filed under: metagenome
Description: bacterial LSU rRNA
Rfam family: Bacterial large subunit ribosomal RNA
Source: RNAcentral